GGUAUGAUAACUCAUUUCAGUUUUAACUUCUCUAAUAAUGUUACACAUCAAUCUGCCAAAAUUUGGGUGCAGGAAGGGAGUGGGAAGUACUGUCUCUUGAAGCUGGUAACAUAAUGCAUGUCUUCUCAAGGAAGUAGAACUAUGGGUAGAAAUUAGAAAUUUGAAGUUGGUUUUAAAGGCUAUUAUAUUUAGGUUCAAGAAUUCUAUUAUUCUUUUUCUUAGAAUUGGUGCAAAUAAUGUUCUAAGCACAGAAGCAUGCCUUAAUAUUUUGUAUUUUAUGUUUCUUAGGUUUUGUUCUCUUGUAAUAUUUUUUGUAAUUGG
RNAcentral lists this long non-coding RNA (321 nucleotides) under Panax ginseng (ginseng). Its description in RNAcentral is "long non-coding RNA (PGIN_LNC007465)". Lineage: Eukaryota; Viridiplantae; Streptophyta; Magnoliopsida; Apiales; Araliaceae. The record is from RNAcentral.